UACGUAGGUGGCAAGCGUUGUCCGGAUUUACUGGGCGUAAAGGGUGUGUAGGCGGAAGCUUAAGUAGGAAGUGAAAGGUUGGAGCUCAACUCCAACACUGCUCCCUAUACUGGGUUUCUUGAGUCUCGGAGAGGAAGAUGGAACGACACGUGUAGCGGUGAAAUGCGUUGAUAUGUGUCGGAACACCAAUGGCGAAGGCAGUCUUCUGGACGAGUACUGACGCUGAGACACGAAAGCCAAGGGAGCGAACAGGAUUAGAACCCUUGUAGUCC
This 272-nucleotide ribosomal RNA is filed under the name uncultured prokaryote. RNAcentral's name for it is "partial 16S ribosomal RNA". It matches the Rfam family "Bacterial small subunit ribosomal RNA", at positions 524 to 796 of the family's 1533-position model. The record is from RNAcentral.